UCUCUCUCAAACAACCCUUCUCUCUCUAGGAAGAUAUCCUCCUUUCACGAUUUUUUCUUAGAAAAAUUGUGGAUCUCGGUUUCAUGUUUUUCUUCGAUCCUUGUCUCACGAUCACUCACAGUUUCGCUCUGAAAAAUUUCAACUUUGAUCUCGUGUGCAGAAUCAAGCUCUCUCUCUCUCUCUCUCUUUAUUGGAUAACCAGAUGAAUUGUUUCCCAUCUCUAUAUAUCUCGAUUCAUCUCUAAGGAAAAAUUAUGGUCCUUAGUUGCUUGAUUGAGUUGACGCUGGACGUAAAGAUUCUAAAGCAUAUGAUGUUUCGAGGAUUCAAGCUUAUCAUUCACCGGGUGGAGGACCUUUGUACUGGAUUCCUCAUAGUUUGUAGUUCUAGCGCCUCUUUUGAUUAGGCACUCAGUUUGGUAUUGGAUUUGUUGGUUCUUACUACACGGCUCUAUUCAUUAUAGAAUUCGGAAUUCACUUAAGAAGCUUUUUGAGCAUGAAAGUGCCGAGCAGAGAAAGGAACUUGCAUAUCAACUUGUUGGCCACUUUUUUCCUUCAAGUCUUCAGAUGUAUGGAUGUCGUGUAAUCCAAAAGGUAUUAUUGCAGUAAAGUUUAUGUAAAUGAAAGCUUCCGCUAUUUCUCUAGAUGUUAUGAACUUAUUUACCUACGAAGACUAUGUGUAAUCCACGCAUCAUAUAAUCUUCUGCAUACUUGAAAACUUUUCCUUUUGGGUCUAAAUAUUAUACCCCUUACUACUCAACUCUCUGGAAUUAGUACUUUAUUGUGUUAUCAAGGCUAUGUUUAAUCUGCAGAAUACUUGAGUACUGCUUCUUUUGAGACUAAAUAUGAUACCCAUUACUAAGUACUUAUUUGAGAUGUUUGAAGAUAUUUCUCAAUUGAGGAGAGGGUUUUCUUGCUUAUUUACCUACGUCUGAUAUAUAGAUUAUCUUUGAAGAUGCUAAACAAUGGACGAUCCCUUAUGGUGGAUAAAAUUAUCCAGGGACUUGUGGAUAUUGAGUUUGAUCAGAAACCACAGCUUGUUUAUGAGCUUGAUGGAUUUUUAUUGAAAUGUAUGCUUGAUGGAAUCAUGUGAUGCAGAAAUGUGUGACUGUGUUCCAACAGAGGAAACUGGAUUCGUAAUUUCUGCAUUUCGUAAACAAGGUGCAGCACCAUCUACAUAUCCCUACGGUUGACGAGUUAUUCAGGGACUUAGUUUUACUCUAGAAAUGCAAUUGAAGGCGAUAAAAAACUUUUCCAGACUCUUGCUCGUGUGAUUUUUCUAAAUCCUGAUUUGUUACUUGUUGACAAGCUUACGGUAUGUGCUCUUUAUAAAGAUAUGGAUCAGGCUGUUACUUCCCAUUGUGGUUUGUUAAUACGAAAUCUAAUUUAGGCCGGCAGCGUAUUACCACGAGGAAACUUUUAACAGUUCAAUCGGUGUAUGAAUUAGAUUGAUAGAGUGCAAAAUUCACUUAAGGUUUGUGGCCUCUUCAACUUUUGUUGUUAUAACAUUUGUUUUUUACAUCGGUGCGGUUACGAUGUGGUCGUGCCACAUCAUUCAAGUAUGUGGCCCAUCUUUAAAUAGUGACACAUAGUUUUUUUGUUCUCCAAAACAGCUUAUUACCUAACUUUUUGUCUUAACUUCCUACUUUUUCUCAAAAAGGUAAAACAAUUACGGAUAUUUAGAGGGGGCAGGUUUUUAAUAUGAGUAUGUGUCAAAAUAUGAAGAGGGUCCACAUACAAAAUAUAUGUGGCCCGAACACAUCAUAAUCCGAGCGUUUUUACAUAGUAAGUACCAGCCUGAAAAACACCAGAAAACAUACAUCUAGGCUAUCUAGCCCAGUGGUUACUUCUGACUUAAGACUUCAGUAUGCUAUAUUGUUAUAUAUGCUAUUUACCUUGCUCUUAUCGGCACUGUUUUUUCCAAUUGAAAACUAAAGUCAUGUAGAUCGGAAAUCAACAAAAUUGGAAUAUGUAUGGGUUAAUUAAAAUUUCAAGCCAUUUAACUACAAUUUGGAAUCAUAAAUGGGUUAUUCAAAAUUUUGAACUGUGAGCUUACAUUCUGGGAUAUGAAGUAUUAAAGAUGUCAUGUGAGAUAGUUUUAAGAGAGAUAGGGGUGGUUCAGUUAGAAUAUGUGGUGAGAUGUUUGGGAAAAUCUAGGAGUCUGAGUAUUAGUAAUUUUAAGUUUUUAAAGUCUUGCUUACUGCUGACGUUUUCUUCUGGCACUGUUUAAUGCUAUUCGUUAUUCUAUUAAUAAAAGAGCUUGUGUGUUGUUGCUUUAAAAAUGUAAUUUUGGGUAAUUAUCUUGUAUUCAUUUUUCGGAGGAAGUUCGAGUGCUAUGAAGAAGAGACCAUGGAUAAUAAACCAAGUCAAAGUGUUGGUGACAUGAUUGUGUUUGUCCAAAUUUCGGUUCAAUCAUUGGUGCAUGAAGUUGCAGGUGUGUUGGUCCAUCUUUGGGUAUCAAAACAUGAAGAGAGUAGAUUCCGAUGAACUUUACGAAAAAUGGAUAUCAUUUCCUAUUUCUUUGUCAAUUUCUUUUAGC
Molecule: long non-coding RNA, 2535 nt
Organism: Papaver somniferum (opium poppy)
Lineage: Eukaryota; Viridiplantae; Streptophyta; Magnoliopsida; Ranunculales; Papaveraceae
Exons: 4
Source: RefSeq, a predicted model, not a curated record